Larimichthys crocea (large yellow croaker) is the source of this 760-nucleotide long non-coding RNA. RefSeq lists it as uncharacterized. The record is from RefSeq and is a predicted model, not a curated record. The transcript has 3 exons. Lineage: Eukaryota; Metazoa; Chordata; Actinopteri; Sciaenidae.
CCACUUUGGAGGGAAGCAGGUGUUCCUCUGUGGCUUUCCAUCCGUCAGGUUUGCUCUUGACCGGACAGGUGAUGCUGCCCGUCCCGUUCAGAUCCAGCUCACACUGCACAGAUUUAAGUGGAGAGCUUCUGAAUGAACUCCAAUGAGAUCUGUGUUGUUGUAGCUUCUGGAGGACAGCACUAGAGGGCGCUGCUGAAGAGAUGCCGUGCCGAUAUUCAGUAUAACAGCACUCCUCCUCGUGCAAUAUCGCUUAAACGAGACGUUUCGUGUCGAUGACAACCUGUAAAAAUGUUGAAAAUGUGAUGUUGUCUCCUUCAUCCUCCCUCUCUGCAUCAUCUUCCUCUCUGUGACCCUCUGACACACACACACAUACACAAACACACACAUAUACACACAGAGGCGGUGGCUGCAUUUUUUGAAGGGUGGCUUUGUAAAUGGGUAGAGAGAUAAACGCUGAGUUGUUUUGGACACCAAAACACACACACACACACACACACACCAUGAGGGAGAUGAAGGCAGUGUUGUUUCACACACUCAGUCUUUUAUGCAGCUCAGUAAGAGGACUGAGACGCUAUAGACACACAAACUAGGCUCCAACUCAUCUGAGUUUGUGGGUUGAGGCUGCUGCUGUUAUUGUUGAUAUAUUAAAAAUGUCCCAAAAUUCAGCCUUUUACACACACAUAAUUAAUUUUUAGAGUGUUUUGCCUUCAAAAGGGGUCAGUAAAAUGUAUUAGCUGAGGACGAAAAAGAACAUUUAACU